Molecule: ribosomal RNA, 253 nt
Filed under: uncultured bacterium
Lineage: Bacteria
Description: partial 16S ribosomal RNA
Rfam family: Bacterial small subunit ribosomal RNA
Source: RNAcentral
GACAGAGGUGCCGAGCGUUAGGCGGAAUCACUGGGCUUAAAGCGUGUGUAGGCGGGUGCCUAAGUACCUUGUGAAAUCCCACGGCUCAACCGUGGAACGGCUGGGUAUACUGGCGGUCUUGGGCCAUUCAGGGGCGACUGGAACAAGCGGUGGAGCGGUGAAAUGCGUAGAUAUCGCUUGGAACGCCGAAGGUGAAAACAGGUCGCUGGGGAUGUGCCGACGCUGAGACACGAAAGCCAGGGGAGCAAACGGG